GUGGAUUAGAUACCCUGGUAGUCCUGGCAGUAAACGGUGCACGCUUGGUGUGAGGGGAAUCGACCCCCCUUGUGCCGGAGCUAACGCGUUAAGCGUGCCGCCUGGGAAGUACGGUCGCAAGACUAAAACUCAAAGAAAUUGACGGGGACCCGCACAAGCGGUGGAGUAUGUGGCUUAAUUCGAUGCAACGCGAAGAACCUUACCAAGGCUUGACAUGGAUUUCUAAGCGCGUGAAAGCGCGUGACCCUUCGGGGGACUUCCACAGGUGCUGCACGGCCGUCGUCAACU
This 288-nucleotide ribosomal RNA is filed under the name uncultured bacterium. Its description in RNAcentral is "partial 16S ribosomal RNA". It matches the Rfam family "Bacterial small subunit ribosomal RNA", at positions 773 to 1060 of the family's 1533-position model. The record is from RNAcentral.